Long non-coding RNA from Acinonyx jubatus (cheetah), 4132 nucleotides. RefSeq lists it as uncharacterized. The record is from RefSeq and is a predicted model, not a curated record. Lineage: Eukaryota; Metazoa; Chordata; Mammalia; Carnivora; Felidae. The transcript is spliced from 4 exons.
CAUGCCCUUGUUCAUUCUCUUUCAGAGUAGCACCUGCUGGUUUCCACCCUUGAAAUCAUCACACAUGCUCAGCUCACAGUUACUUGUCUGCUUCUCUGCUUUAUACCUAUCUCCCUGCAGACUCUAAGGCUGAAAGUAGAGAUGACUCAUUCUGUUCACCCACAUUUAUCAUCUCAGACUCUGCCUGGCAUAUAGUGAGUGCACAGUGAAUAUUUAAAUUUUUUUAACGUUUAUUCAUUUUUUGAGAGACAGAGCUUGAGUGGGGGAGGAGCAGAGAGAAAAGGGAGACACAGAAUCUGAAGUAGGCUCCAGGUUCUGAACUGAGAGCACACAGCCCGACGCGGGGCUCGAACUCACAAACCGUGAGAUCAUGACCUGAGCCAAAGUAGGGUGUUCAACCGACUGAGCCGCCCAGGCGCCCCAGUGCACAGUGAAUAUUUAAUGAAUAAAUGAACAGAUGCUUCCACAUUGCCAAGUGAAGAUCGCAUUGCUUUAUGGCUUAGUUUGUAUUUGUUUAUUUCCUUUGUCUUUAUUAUUAUUAUUUCUUUCACUGCACAUUCCUGUUCUUAGACGACCAUGCAUUUUUAUUCUUUGUGUCAGGCACAUAGAUAAGUGCUUCGAAGCAUAAUAACAAUUAGGAAAAAAAAACCCUCUUAAGUUCUCCCUGGUGCUAGUGAAGAAUACAUACAGUGAGCUAUCCUGCUGACUGUUUGCUCUGAGGCACCUAAAGCCUACAUUGCUCUGAUUGGUUUGUUUUCUGCUGGAGUAGCUGAGCUGGGGAGAGAAUCUCUGAGCCCAUGCUGCGCCUGCUUUCUGCCCGUCCUUCUUGGUGACAGGCUUUAGAAGUAGGAGGCGAGAAAUCACAUUCCUUCUGUCGGCAGGUCUAAGGGCAUCUGAAACACUGGAUUGGUGAUCCUCAACUUGCUGGGGAGGAUUUGAAAGAGCACCAAUGCCUGGGCCCCACACCAGAACAGUUACGGCGGGGUCUUUGCGGUGGGUCCAACAUGGAGAUGUUUUAAAAGCUUCCAGCUUCCUUUGAAUUUAUGGUAAAAGCCACAAAACCAGAGAUGAGAAGACAGCCAUCCAAGGUUUUAGCUACCAUACAUACAGCUGCAAUGAACGUUCAUGAACAAGUCUUUGUGUGGACAUAUGCUUUCAUUCAUCUGGAGUAAAUACCUAGGAGUGGAAUGGCCAGAAUGUUUGAUCUGCAAAUCCUGUCUCCAGGCUGAAUCCCACACAUUCAAUGGGCUGGAUGUUUGGUGCUGCAGAAGAACCAGAGCAACAAGAUCUACUGGAGUGACCACCGCUCAGAGAAUGGGCUUCUGGACAUUGCAAAACUUUUUGGAAGCCGGGCAGCCCUGGGGAGGAGAGGAUAUCUUAAGGGCAAACUCGUUGUUCUCCAAGCACCCUUCCUCUGAUGUCCAAAAACCACUGCCUGGCCCUCCUCAAAGGCAAGCUGGCUCCCAGACUCCCAUUGGACCUCAGGGAAGCCUUUGAGGACAGAGGGCCACAGCAAUAGCAGUUCAGUACAGACCAGCUGACCCCCAUGACCUAUGCCACUGAGGAGCCCCCUGUUCUUACCAGAAGGGAGAGUGGCUCCUCAGAGUCUGGGGGGAAUGAACAGCAAUACUGAGCCCUCCACUACAGGACUCUGGGCACCUAGGACCCAAGACUGAAAGAUGUGUAUGACUGAACACCAUCUCACAUAGACACUGGCCUCUUGCUUAUCUCCCUCAUUAGAAUAUAAGCUUCCUGAAAGCCAGACCUUGUCUCUCAACUCCAAGGUGGUUUCCUCAGCAUCUAGAACAUAGUAGACAGUAUUCAAUAAAUGUGCACCGAAGGACUGUGUGAAGGUUAUCAUAAUCGCUAUGUUUAUGGCAUGCGUUGACACUUUCAUUAAGUUACGGUACUUUUCUAAACAUUCAAGCAAGUGUUUUCAGCAACAGCAUGUAAGAACUCCAAUAGCCAGUGUGCCAGUAGGGAACAUCUACAAUGAUGCUGAGAAAAAUUUUCCUUGGUACAAAAACCGCAUGGACUCUUUACAUCUAAGAACUUUAAAACCGUGGUUCCAACUUGUUUAUUUGGUUAGCAGCGAGCUCUUUCUUCAGUGGAGAUCUGAGGCAGAGACCCGGUAUAUAAACAAGAUAAAAGUGGGGCUGCUCCAUUCAAACUGGAGUAAGCGGAGCAGGGGGGAGAUAGGAGUCUGAGCCUGGCUGCCUUCUGUUGUUUCCUCCAAGGAAUCCUAAAGCAGCUCCCCGCAAUGCCCAGGACAGUGGCUCUCAGCCUUGGCUGCAAAUUAGAAUCACCUGGGCAGCUGUAAAGCCCCAGACAUCCAAGUCACACCCCAUGAGCUGCCGAUGCCUGGAGGGGAAAAGGGCCCAUUAUGCUCUGGUUCCAUUGGUUGUUUACUGCUCUCUUGAGAGCUCACACGUGAUUUUGUUUGAUUUUGCCUUUCUUUUAGAAGAGAGUUGAGAGUGUAGAACUCAGAAUCAGAAAGAGUAAGGAUCAAAUCCUAGGUCUACCACUUUCUAGUUUUCUGCAUGUGGCCUAAUUACUUGAAUCCUUUAUCUACAAAAUCCAUGAGAGGAUAAAGUCUAUCAGCGCAGUGGUAGCACCUGUCUUAUCAGUAUAUCUAGUAUUGGCACACAGGAUAAUCAAUAAGCAUUAGUUCAAUUAAUGACUAAUUUAUUAAUUAUUCAUUGCCACAGAAUGGAUUCAAUCUAGGUUUUAAAGAUUCCCAACACUGUGCAUGUAGUAGGUGAUCAGAAAAUGGUAAGCACUGUUAUUACCUGGCCAUCUCCUGCCAGAUUCUCCUGCCCAGAACCUAGGUCUACUCUGAAUGCACCCUCUCCUUUCAGGGGGCAGUUCACGGGCAAACUGGGCUCUAGACUCUUGAUGCAGAGGCAAAGAAGGAAGAGGGCAUGGGAUGUGGAUGUGUUCCAAGCCUGCUCAGGGGGAAGAACAGACCCAGGGAAGGAACCAUCUCAACCACAGAAAUGGGAGCCCAUUCACUCAUUUGUUCAAUUCAUUCUUAAUUAUCUUACUAGGUUUAUCCUCUCUCUGUAGCCUUUUCUGAUUCCUCCUGGCAGAAUAAUUAGUCCCCUUACCUGCGUUUCAUGUCAUUCUAUGCAUAUCUUUGCUGUAACUCUUAUCACAUUAUGUUGCUGAUUCUCCUGCCUGUCCCCUAUAAUACUUUAUGAGCUUGUUUGGAGAAGAGAUUCUUAGUCACUUAUCUUUGUAUCUUCAGUCCCUAAAAUAGUACCUAGUACCUAGCACCUAAUAGGUCCUGAAUUAGUUUUCUAAGUUAGAUUAAAUCAUUGAAUAUGCUCUACAAGAAUGCUUAUUCUAGAGACUGGAGACACUACCACUUACCUACAUUUGGACUUAGUCAUUUGUUUCCCCAUCUUCGACAAUGUAUGUUGGAUUAAUCUGUGUAUGCUGAGUGUGAUUACAAGAGUAAAAAUCCUCUAGAAAUUGCCAUUUGUGUAGGGAAUGCAGUGGUACUGCUCAUAGUUGAAAAUGAAGUCAACGAAUAUUGUGUACAGAAAAGACUUAUUCUGUUUAAAUGGAAAGGUGGUAGCUACACCCAUCUCUCUUGCAGUGGAUGUUAAUGGGCACAUUUCUCCACACUGCUACUCUUUCUUCCUAUUAAGAAAGCUUGACUGCUGUAAGUCUAGGUGUCUCUCCAUUCCCAUAUUCACUUCAACCCUGAGCAGGAAGAGUGCUUAUUCAUAAACCAGAGAAGAAUAACUAGGCAGAAGUAGCUCAGCUCUUCCCAUCCUUCUUGAAUUUCCUGAGUGUAAAGAAUGUUCUUCUCUGUUGCUCCAUUCUGCCAGUUUGGCAGGGACCUCUCCUGUGCAGGGAGGCCUGCCGAGGCUUACUGUCACCUGUGACAGCAUGAGGAAGUCUGUCAUCAUCACCUGGGGUGUAGUUAGAGGCCCUGUUGGCUCUCAUAUGAAGCUGUAUCUCUCAACUUAAAUUCUGUCAGUAUUAGAUUGAUAUUUUGGCCACCAUUUUGUUUUGUAUCUUAUUUCUCAACUUGAUCAAAACCCAGGUAGGGAAGGUGAGUACUAUAUAUAUAUUUUUUUAAUUUUUGUAAUGUUUAUUUAUUUUUAAGAGGAACAGAGAGACA